AGUGAACGCUGGCGGUAGGCCUAACACAUGCAAGUCGAACGGCAGCACAGUAAGAGCUUGCUCUCCGGGUGGCGAGUGGCGGACGGGUGAGGAAUACAUCGGAAUCUACUUUUUCGUGGGGGAUAACGCAGUGAAACUUACGCUAAUGCCGCAUACGACCUACGGGUGAAAGCAGGGGAUCUUCGGACCUUGCGCGAUUGCAUGAGCCGAUGUCGGAUUAGCUAGUUGGCGGGGUAAAGGCCCACCAAGGCGACGAUCCGUAGCUGGUCUGAGAGGAUGAUCAGCCAAACGGGAACUGAGACACGGUCCAGACUCCUAAGGGAGGCAGCAGUGGGGAAUAUUGGAAAAUGGGCGCAAGCCUGAUCCAGCCAUACCGCGUGGGUGAAGAAGGCCUUCGGGUUGUAAAGCCCUUUUGUUGGGAAAGAAAAGCAGCAGGUUAAUACCCCGCUGUUCUGACGGUACCCAAAGAAUAAGCACCGGCUAACUUCGUG
This 491-nucleotide ribosomal RNA is filed under the name uncultured bacterium. Its description in RNAcentral is "partial 16S ribosomal RNA". It matches the Rfam family "Bacterial small subunit ribosomal RNA", at positions 29 to 507 of the family's 1533-position model. The record is from RNAcentral.